This 611-nucleotide ribosomal RNA is filed under the name uncultured archaeon. RNAcentral's name for it is "bacterial SSU rRNA". It matches the Rfam family "Archaeal small subunit ribosomal RNA", at positions 85 to 701 of the family's 1478-position model. The record is from RNAcentral.
ACGGCUCAGUAACACGUGGAUAACCUGCCCUAAGGAAGGGGAUAACCCCGGGAAACUGGGGAUAAUACCCUAUAGGUUACAGAUGCUGGAAUGCUCUGUAACCGAAAGUUCCGGCGCCUUAGGAUGGAUCUGCGGCCGAUUAGGUUGUUGUCGGGGUAACGGCCCAACAAGCCAGUAAUCGGUACGGGUUGUGGGAGCAAGAGCCCGGAGUUGGAUUCUGAGACACGAAUCCAGGCCCUACGGGGCGCAGCAGGCGCGAAAACUUUACAAUGCGGGCAACCGUGAUAAGGGAACCUCGAGUGCCUGUAUAUGCAGGCUGUCUGGGUGUCUAAAACACACCUAAAGAAAGGGCCGGGCAAGACCGGUGCCAGCCGCCGCGGUAAUACCGGCGGCUCGAGUGGUGGCCACUUUUAUUGGGCUUAAAGCGUUCGUAGCUGGGUUAUUAAGUCCCUUGGGAAAUCCGACGGCUUAACCGUCGGGCGUCUAAGGGAUACUGGCAAUCUUGGAACCGGGAGAGGUGAGGGGUACUUCGGGGGUAGGAGUGAAAUCCUGUAAUCCUCGAGGGACCACCUGUGGCGAAGGCGCCUCACCAGAACGGCUUCGACAGUGAG